AUACGUAGGUGGCGAGCGUUGUCCGGAAUUAUUGGGCGUAAAGAGCAUGUAGGCGGCUUAAUAAGUCGAGCGUGAAAAUGCGGGGCUCAACCCCGUAUGGCGCUGGAAACUGUUAGGCUUGAGUGCAGGAGAGGAAAGGGGAAUUCCCAGUGUAGCGGUGAAAUGCGUAGAUAUUGGGAGUAAUACCAGUGGCGAAGGCGCCUUUCUGGACUGUAUCGGACGCUGAGCUGCGAAAGCCAGGGUAGCAACCGGGAUUAGAUACCCGGGGAGUCCUAGCCGUAAACGAUGUGUACUAGGUGUAGGAGGUAUCGACCCCUUCUGUGCCGGAGUUAACGCAAUAAGUACCCCGCCUGGGGAGUACGGCCGCAAGGUUGAAACUCAAAUGAAUUGACGGGG
Molecule: ribosomal RNA, 396 nt
Filed under: uncultured bacterium
Lineage: Bacteria
Description: partial 16S ribosomal RNA
Rfam family: Bacterial small subunit ribosomal RNA
Source: RNAcentral